AACCUGCCUUUGAGAAGGGGAUAACUGUCCGAAAGGAUAGCUAAUACCCUAUAUUGCCUUUUGUCACUAAGACAAAAAGUGAAAGCGAGGCUGUCAAAGGCUUCGGCUCAAAGAGGGGUUCGCGUCCUAUCAGGUAGUUGGUGGGGUAAUGGCCUACCAAGCCAAUGACGGGUAGCUGGUCUUAGAGGAUGAUCAGCCACAGUGGGACUGAGACACGGCCCGCACCCCUACGGGGGGCAGCAGUGGGGAAUCGUGGGCAAUGGGCGCAAGCCUGACCCCGCAAUGCCGCGUGAGGGAAGAAGCCCUUCGGGGUGUAAACCUCUGUCAGAUGGGAAGAUGGGACUAGGGGCUAAUACCUCCUAGUCUUGACGGUACCAUCAGAGGAAGGGACGGCUA
Molecule: ribosomal RNA, 396 nt
Filed under: uncultured bacterium
Lineage: Bacteria
Description: bacterial SSU rRNA
Rfam family: Bacterial small subunit ribosomal RNA
Source: RNAcentral